AUAUGGCUCAGGACGAACGCUGGCGGCGUGCCUAAUACAUGCAAGUCGAACGGCUUUUCUAUGGAAGCUUGCUUCCGCUGAGAAGAUAGUGGCGAACGGGGUGAGUAACACGUGGGUAACCCUGCCCAUAAGAGGGGGGAUAACAUCCGGAAACGGGUGCUAAUACCGCAUAGUUUUCUUGAUCGCAUGAUCGGGAAAGAAAAGACGGCCUUUGUGCUGUCGCUUAUGGAUGGACCCGCGGCGUAUUAGUUAGUUGGUGAGGUAACGGCUCACCAAGACGAUGAUACGUAGCCGACCUGAGAGGGUGAUCGGCCACAUUGGGACUGAGACACGGCCCAAACUCCUACGGGAGGCAGCAGUAGGGAAUCUUCCGCAAUGGACGAAAGUCUGACGGAGCAACGCCGCGUGAGUGAAAGAAGGUUUUCGGAUCGUAAAACUCUGUUGUCAGAGAAGAACAAGUUGGAGAGUAACUGCUCCAGCCUUGACGGUAUCUGACCAGAAAGCCACGGCUAACUACGUGCCAGCCGCGGC
Molecule: ribosomal RNA, 531 nt
Filed under: uncultured bacterium
Lineage: Bacteria
Description: bacterial SSU rRNA
Rfam family: Bacterial small subunit ribosomal RNA
Source: RNAcentral